AAUGACACGAUCACUCCCGUUGAGCGGACAGCCAAGAAGCCAUCGGGAAUAUCGUGUCCGUCC
RNAcentral lists this microRNA precursor (63 nucleotides) under Ornithorhynchus anatinus (platypus). Its description in RNAcentral is "Oan-Mir-425_pre stem-loop". It matches the Rfam family "mir-425 microRNA precursor family", at positions 13 to 75 of the family's 85-position model. The record is from RNAcentral. RNAcentral also lists the same sequence under 1 other name. Lineage: Eukaryota; Metazoa; Chordata; Mammalia; Monotremata; Ornithorhynchidae.